Molecule: ribosomal RNA, 460 nt
Filed under: uncultured bacterium
Lineage: Bacteria
Description: partial 16S ribosomal RNA
Rfam family: Bacterial small subunit ribosomal RNA
Source: RNAcentral
CCUACGGGGGGCAGCAGUGAGGAAUAUUGGUCAAUGGGCGCGAGCCUGAACCAGCCAAGUCGCGUGAAGGAUGACUGCCCUACGGUUUGUAAACUUCUUUUAUAUAGGAAUAAAGUGAGGCACGUGUGCCUUUUUGUAUGUACUUUAUGAAUAAGGAUCGGCUAACUCCGUGCCAGCAGCCGCGGUAAUACGGAGGAUCCGAGCGUUAUCCGGAUUUAUUGGGUUUAAAGGGAGCGUAGGUGGGUUAUUAAGUCAGUGGUGAAAGUUUGCGGCUCAACCGUAAAAUUGCAAUUGAUACUGGUAGACUUGAGUACAGUUGAGGUAGGCGGAAUGCGUGGUGUAGCGGUGAAAUGCAUAGAUAUCACGAAGAACUCCGAUUGCGAAGGCAGCUUACUAAACUGCCACUGACACUGAUGCACGAAAGUGUGGGGAUCAAACAGGAUUAGAUACCCCUGUAGUC